UAAUAUUUUCUUAUUUUUACUUAUUUUUAUUAUAAUAUUAUUUUAUUUUUUUUUAGUAAUAUUAUUAAAAUAAUUUUUAUUUUUAACUGAUUAGGUUUUUAUUAUUAUUAUUAAUUCAUUUUUAGUACCUUUUGUAUCAUGGUUGAUUUAAUAUUUUAUUUAUAAUUUUUUUCCCGAGAAUUAGAUAUUUAUUUUUAUAUUUUUUUUAAUGUUUUAUAUUUAUUUAUAAUUUAAAAAUGGUAAUUAAAAGUUAAUCGUUCUUUUUAUAUCUGGUUACUUUAGAAAUUAAUUUAAUUAAGGAUUGAUGGUUGAUUUUUAUUUAAAAUUUGUUUUUCUUAAAUUUCUUAGGAUAAGCUAAGUUUUUAUUUAAAAUUUUUUUUUUAUUCAAUUUUACAGCUUUAAUAUUAUGCAUUUUUAGUUUUUAAUAUAUUAAUUUAUUUAAAUUUAAUUUUUUUAUAUUUAUUUUUUUAUAAGGUUUAUUUAUUGAAUAAAAUUUUAUUUAAAAUACUGAUUAAAUUAGUAUAAUUUUAAUUUAUAUUUUAUGAACUCGACAUAUUUAAUUUUCAACUGUUUAUCAAAAACAUUUCUUUUAGUAAAAUUUUAAAAGUAAAUUCUGCCCUAUGAUUAUUUAAAUGGCUGCAGUAUUCUGACUGUGCAAAGGUAGCAUAAUAAUUAGUCUUUUAAUUGAAGGCUGGUAUGAAUGAAUAGAUGAGGGAUUAAUUUUAUUUUUUUUAAUUUUAUAAUUUGAUUUUUAGGUAAAAAAGCCUAAUUUUUUUUUUGGGACGAUAAGACCCUAUAGAACUUUAAUUUUAAUAAGUUUUAUGUAUUUUUUAGUAAAUUUAUCUUUUAAUUUUAUUAAUUUUUUUUCUGGGGCGGAAGAUAAAUUUGACUUUAUUUUUUUAAUUCAUUUAAUUUAUGUAAUUUAGAUCCAAUAAUGAUUUUAAGAUUAAGUUACCUUAGGGAUAACAGCGUUAUUUUAAUGAGGAGUUCUUAUCUAUAUUAAAGUUUGCGACCUCGAUGUUGAAUUAAGAUUAGAUUGAGGGGCAGGUUUUUCAUUUCUAAGUCUGUUCGACUUUUAAAUUCUUACAUGAUUUGAGUUCAAACCGGUGUAAGCCAGGUUGGUUUCUAUCUAGAAAUAUUAAGAUUUUUUUAGUACGAAAGGACCAUUAAAUCCAAUUUAUAUUGUGUUGAAAUAAUGCUA
Molecule: non-coding RNA, 1201 nt
Organism: Homalodisca vitripennis (glassy-winged sharpshooter)
Lineage: Eukaryota; Metazoa; Arthropoda; Insecta; Hemiptera; Cicadellidae
Source: the annotation of a RefSeq genome assembly